Molecule: ribosomal RNA, 468 nt
Filed under: uncultured bacterium
Lineage: Bacteria
Description: partial 16S ribosomal RNA
Rfam family: Bacterial small subunit ribosomal RNA
Source: RNAcentral
GACGAACGCUGGCGGCGUGCUUAACACAUGCAAGUCGAACGGAAAGGCCCUGCUUUUGUGGGGUGCUCGAGUGGCGAACGGGUGAGUAACACGUGAGUAACCUGCCCUUGACUUUGGGAUAACUUCAGGAAACUGGGGCUAAUACCGGAUAGGAGCUCCUGCUGCAUGGUGGGGGUUGGAAAGUUUCGGCGGUUGGGGAUGGACUCGCGGCUUAUCAGCUUGUUGGUGGGGUAGUGGCUUACCAAGGCUUUGACGGGUAGCCGGCCUGAGAGGGUGCCCGGAACAAUGGGGAUGGAUAGAGGGCCAGCACUCUUGCGGGGGCGGGAGGGGGGGAAUAUUGAAAAGGGGGCGAGAGCUGAAACAGGCACCGCCGGGUGGGGAGGGAGGGCCUCCGGUUUGAAACCCGGUUCCGCGUGUGAAGAGGGGUGGGGGAGGGAAGGGGGAAAAAAGGCCCCGGCUAAUUAGGUC